RNAcentral lists this transfer RNA (73 nucleotides) under Photobacterium lutimaris. RNAcentral's name for it is "tRNA-Asn". It matches the Rfam family "tRNA". From Rfam's summary of the family: Transfer RNA (tRNA) molecules are approximately 80 nucleotides in length. Their secondary structure includes four short double-helical elements and three loops (D, anti-codon, and T loops). Lineage: Bacteria; Pseudomonadati; Pseudomonadota; Gammaproteobacteria; Vibrionales; Vibrionaceae. The record is from RNAcentral.
UCCCCCUUAGUUCAGUCGGUAGAACGGCGGACUGUUAAUCCUUAUGUCGUUGGUUAAAGUUCAGCAGGGGGAU